CUUUUUUUAUUGCUCGUGCAAGUUUAGGUUUCUGCUUUUUGCCACCGAGACACCAACAGUUUGAGAAAAUGAUGUUCAUUGUGUCAUGGCCGAAAAUGGCCCCAGUGUCUGCAGGGCUUCCAGAAAUACUAACUCGGAGCAACGGAACUUCAUAAGAACUGGGACCCAUCCAUUGAGAAGAAGCAAAGAUAAGAAAACUGAGGCCUGAGAAGAGCUGUGAAGGGGAAGAAUCAGGACUGGACUACUGGAAUCCUGCACUCCGGCCUCCUCAUCGGGGCUCUCUCUGUCCCUCUACUCAGAGAGGAGGCAUCACCCCACUACAGGGUCAGCUGAGGAUCUGUUCCAGGGU
Leptonychotes weddellii (Weddell seal) is the source of this 349-nucleotide non-coding RNA. Lineage: Eukaryota; Metazoa; Chordata; Mammalia; Carnivora; Phocidae. The record is from RefSeq and is a predicted model, not a curated record.